Molecule: unclassified non-coding RNA, 325 nt
Filed under: uncultured fungus
Lineage: Eukaryota; Fungi
Description: partial contains small subunit ribosomal RNA, internal transcribed spacer 1, and 5.8S ribosomal RNA
Rfam family: Eukaryotic small subunit ribosomal RNA (bases 1-73)
Source: RNAcentral
GCAAACUUGGUCAUUUAGAGGAAGUAAAAGUCGUAACAAGGUUUCCGUAGGUGAACCUGCGGAAGGAUCAUUAGAAAUGCGUUAGCCCACGAUUAGGUUAACUGCCAGUGGGGUCCUGAACCCCGCGUGUGAGGAGCAAUCCUUGCUUAGGGCUACAUGCUUUACCCGUGAAUAUCUUCUCUGUUGCCUUGGUGGGGUGCGUUCGCGCGGCGUCCCCGCCAAAGGCCCUAAACUCUGCUGUUUGGUGCACAUCUAAGCCCCUAAAGAAUACAUUAAAACUUUUAACAACGGAUCUCUUGGUUCUGGCAUCGAUGAAGAACGCAGC